Long non-coding RNA from Paramisgurnus dabryanus, 339 nucleotides. RefSeq lists it as uncharacterized. Lineage: Eukaryota; Metazoa; Chordata; Actinopteri; Cypriniformes; Cobitidae. The record is from RefSeq and is a predicted model, not a curated record.
GUUCCUCUGGAGUGAACACCAGCAGCGAAAGUUUCCCGAAAUCUCACUCUCACUUCUCAGAGUUAAGUGACUCACACAGCCCUCUCUCUGUGGAACUGACUCCAGAUUCUGGCAUUGUUGCCACACCCCUGCCAUCCAGUCGGUUCAGGUUCGCCUCGUGGCACUGGUUAGAGGAGCACGAUGUCCGUGGAGACCAGCUCGCCUGUCCCAGAGUCAGAGAGGGCCCAGCUGAAGAGGAGCUGUCUGUUAACAGCGAAGACAUAUUUCUCAGAGCCGGCAGGAGGAAGAGGAGAGAGGAGGGAGGACAGAAAUGGGAGGAGAGACUUCAGGAGAACUGGG